UGGGGAAUAUUGCACAAUGGGCGCAAGCCUGAUGCAGCAACGCCGCGUGAACGAUGAAGGUCUUCGGAUCGUAAAGUUCUGUUGCAGGGGAAGAUAAUGACGGUACCCUGUGAGGAAGCCCCGGCUAACUACGUGCCAGCAGCCGCGGUAAUACGUAGGGGGCUAGCGUUAUCCGGAUUUACUGGGCGUAAAGGGUGCGUAGGUGGUCCUUCAAGUCGGUGGUUAAAGGCUACGGCUCAACCGUAGUAAGCCGCCGAAACUGGAGGACUUGAGUGCAGGAGAGGAAAGUGGAAUUCCCAGUGUAGCGGUGAAAUGCGUAGAUAUUGGGAGGAACACCAGUAGCGAAGGCGGCUUUCUGGACUGCAUCUGACACUGAGGCACGAAAGCGUGGGUAGCAAACAGG
RNAcentral lists this ribosomal RNA (403 nucleotides) under Verrucomicrobiota bacterium. RNAcentral describes it as "Verrucomicrobia bacterium partial 16S ribosomal RNA". It matches the Rfam family "Bacterial small subunit ribosomal RNA", at positions 355 to 776 of the family's 1533-position model. Lineage: Bacteria; Pseudomonadati; Verrucomicrobiota. The record is from RNAcentral.